UCGAGGGGCAUCGGGAUUGAAGCUUGCUUCAAUUGCCGGCGACCGGCGCACGGGUGCGUAACGCGUAUGUAACCUACCUAUAACAGGGGCAUAACACUGAGAAAUUGGUACUAAUUCCCCAUAAUAUUCGGAGAGGCAUCUCUCCGGGUUGAAAACUCCGGUGGUUAUAGAUGGACAUGCGUUGUAUUAGCUAGUUGGUGAGGUAACGGCUCACCAAGGCAACGAUACAUAGGGGGACUGAGAGGUUAACCCCCCACACUGGUACUGAGACACGGACCAGACUCCUACGGGAGGCAGCAGUGAGGAAUAUUGGUCAAUGGACGCAAGUCUGAACCAGCCAUGCCGCGUGCAGGAAGACGGCUCUAUGAGUUGUAAACUGCUUUUGUACGAGGGUAAACUCACCUACGUGUAGGUGACUGAAAGUAUCGUACGAAUAAGGAUCGGCUAACUCCGUGCCAGCAGCCGCGGUAAUACGGAGGAUUCAAGCGUUAUCCGGAUUUAUUGGGUUUAAAGGGUGCGUAGGCGGUUUGAUAAGUUAGAGGUGAAAUCCCGGGGCUUAACUCCGGAACUGCCUCUAAUACUGUUAGACUAGAGAGUAGUUGCGGUAGGCGGAAUGUAUGGUGUAGCGGUGAAAUGCUUAGAGAUCAUACAGAACACCGAUUGCGAAGGCAGCUUACCAAACUAUAUCUGACGUUGAGG
Molecule: ribosomal RNA, 699 nt
Filed under: uncultured bacterium
Lineage: Bacteria
Description: bacterial SSU rRNA
Rfam family: Bacterial small subunit ribosomal RNA
Source: RNAcentral